This 767-nucleotide ribosomal RNA is filed under the name Salmonella enterica subsp. enterica serovar Enteritidis. RNAcentral's name for it is "partial 23S ribosomal RNA". It matches the Rfam family "Bacterial large subunit ribosomal RNA", at positions 496 to 1264 of the family's 2925-position model. The record is from RNAcentral. Lineage: Bacteria; Pseudomonadati; Pseudomonadota; Gammaproteobacteria; Enterobacterales; Enterobacteriaceae.
CAGUACCGUGAGGGAAAGGCGAAAAGAACCCCGGCGAGGGGAGUGAAAAAGAACCUGAAACCGUGUACGUACAAGCAGUGGGAGCACCCUUUGGGUGUGACUGCGUACCUUUUGUAUAAUGGGUCAGCGACUUAUAUUCUGUAGCAAGGUUAACCGAAUAGGGGAGCCGGAGGGAAACCGAGUCUUAACCGGGCGUUAAGUUGCAGGGUAUAGACCCGAAACCCGGUGAUCUAGCCAUGGGCAGGUUGAAGGUUGGGUAACACUAACUGGAGGACCGAACCGACUAAUGUUGAAAAAUUAGCGGAUGACCUGUGGCUGGGGGUGAAAGGCCAAUCAAACCGGGAGAUAGCUGGUUCUCCCCGAAAGCUAUUUAGGUAGCGCCUCGUGAAUUCAUCUCCGGGGGUAGAGCACUGUUUCGGCUAGGGGGCCAUCCCGGCUUACCAACCCGAUGCAAACUGCGAAUACCGGAGAAUGUUAUCACGGGAGACACACGGCGGGUGCUAACGUCCGUCGUGAAGAGGGAAACAACCCAGACCGCCAGCUAAGGUCCCAAAGUCAUGGUUAAGUGGGAAACGAUGUGGGAAGGCCCAGACAGCCAGGAUGUUGGCUUAGAAGCAGCCAUCAUUUAAAGAAAGCGUAAUAGCUCACUGGUCGAGUCGGCCUGCGCGGAAGAUGUAACGGGGCUAAACCAUGCACCGAAGCUGCGGCAGCGACACUGUGUGUUGUUGGGUAGGGGAGCGUUCUGUAAGCCUGUGAAGGUGUGUCGU